GGGGCCUUAGCUCAGUUGGGAGAGCGCUUGCAUGGCAUGCAAGAGGUCACGAGUUCGAGUCUCGUAGGCUCCA
Molecule: transfer RNA, 73 nt
Filed under: Phycisphaerae bacterium SM23_30
Lineage: Bacteria; Pseudomonadati; Planctomycetota; Phycisphaerae
Also listed under: 1 other name
Description: tRNA-Ala
Rfam family: tRNA
About the family: Transfer RNA (tRNA) molecules are approximately 80 nucleotides in length.
Source: RNAcentral